RNAcentral lists this long non-coding RNA (206 nucleotides) under Setaria italica (foxtail millet). RNAcentral's name for it is "long non-coding RNA (SITA_LNC001541)". Lineage: Eukaryota; Viridiplantae; Streptophyta; Magnoliopsida; Poales; Poaceae. The record is from RNAcentral.
UUUUAUUUUUUUACUCUUUUUCUGUUACUUUUCUGUUAAUUUAUUUUGCGAGCUCAUACAAUUCUAUUAUGACUGUUUUUCCUUCUUUUUACUUUCACUUCCUUUUCAAUUCAUUUCACUUCUCUUUUAUUUUUCUAUUAUCUUUUCUUCUAUACUCCUCAAAUAGAUAUACUUUAUCUUAUUUGUAUUGCUAUGUAUUAUUAUUC